GGGCCUGUAGCUCAGUUGGUAGAGCAUCGCGUUUACACCGCGGUUGUCGUCGGUUCGAGCCCGGCCGGGCCCA
Molecule: transfer RNA, 73 nt
Filed under: Actinomycetales bacterium
Lineage: Bacteria; Bacillati; Actinomycetota; Actinomycetes; Actinomycetales
Also listed under: 2 other names
Description: tRNA-Val
Rfam family: tRNA
About the family: Transfer RNA (tRNA) molecules are approximately 80 nucleotides in length.
Source: RNAcentral